This is a long non-coding RNA of Ochotona curzoniae (black-lipped pika), 767 nucleotides long. RefSeq lists it as uncharacterized. Lineage: Eukaryota; Metazoa; Chordata; Mammalia; Lagomorpha; Ochotonidae. The transcript has 3 exons. The record is from RefSeq and is a predicted model, not a curated record.
ACAGGUGCCCUGGCAAUGGCUAGGUGCAGCUAACCCAGGAGGUGCUCUCCCAGGCGCUGCAUCCCAGGGAGACCCCAAGGUGUCACUACUCAGAAAGGACAGCAAUGACGAGAACCUGAGUCUCAGGCCGAGCAGUCCCAACCAGAAGGAAGAGUGGAAGAGCCUUACUAUCUGGCGAGUAAAACCCUCCAUGCCUGGGCAGACCCCAGGAACUCCACCCUGAACCUGUCAUUGCUCUAGGGUGCUCCCAUCAACGAGCUCUACAUUUUGAUCAACCGCUGGCUCUUCUCAUUCUUCAGGCUCCCAGUUCGAGACGCAUAGGGUGCAUUACCGUUAGAACUCCAGCACAUAUGACUUCAUUCUAUAGGAAGUCAAUUGGUUAUGAAAAAAAACAAAUGGGAAGCUUUGCCAGUUUACUGACACAGUCAGCUGGAAUCCUGUUGAGAACGCUCCAGGAGCAGUUGAUACAUAAAUGUAGAAGCGGGGUGAAGCCUUUCAGUCCUGUGAAAAGCUGUCACAUCUCCAAAAUUAAAGGGUGACUUUCUAAUUGGCAUGAGCAACAGUAGCAUCUAAUUUCCAACCUGUAUUUUAAGUGCCUGUCAGCUGUUUGCUGUUAUUCUGCUUCUCACGCUGCUUCAGGAGCUUAGCAUGGCACCUGACGCGAGACAGACUCUCAAAAAUGAUGCAGGAUGCAGAAUACAGCUGAUAGGCAUUCAACAAUUCUAAUCUCUAGACUUUCUGUUAAUCCACAAUCAUAAAAGCAAAUA